RNAcentral lists this ribosomal RNA (164 nucleotides) under Briza minor. RNAcentral describes it as "5.8S ribosomal RNA". It matches the Rfam family "5.8S ribosomal RNA". From Rfam's summary of the family: 5.8S ribosomal RNA (5.8S rRNA) is a component of the large subunit of the eukaryotic ribosome. The record is from RNAcentral. Lineage: Eukaryota; Viridiplantae; Streptophyta; Magnoliopsida; Poales; Poaceae.
CCACACGACUCUCGGCAACGGAUAUCUCGGCUCUCGCAUCGAUGAAGAACGUAGCGAAAUGCGAUACCUGGUGUGAAUUGCAGAAUCCCGCGAACCAUCGAGUCUUUGAACGCAAGUUGCGCCCGAGGCCAUUCGGUUGAGGGCACGCCUGCCUGGGCGUCACG